GACUGUACAAAGGUAGCAUAAUCAUUUGUCUUUUAAUUGAAGGCUGGUAUGAAUGGUCGGAUGAAAAAUAUACUUUCUUUAUUUUAUAGAAAAAAUUUAAUUUUUUAGUCAAAAAGCUAGGAUGCAUUUAUAGGACGAGAAGACCCUAUAGAACUUUAUUUUCUUUUUUAUAUAUUUUUUUUGGUUAUUUAAAAGACUAUAUUUUAAUGUUAAUUUUAUUGGGGUGAUGGAAAAAAUUUUAUAACUUUUUCUAUUUUAUACAUUUAUUUAUGUUUUUUUGAUCCUUUAUUAAGGAUAACAAGAUUAAGUUACCUUAGGGAUAACAGCGUUAUUUUUUUGGAGAGUUCUUAUCGAUAAGAAAGUUUGCGACCUCGAUGUUGGAUUAAAAUAAGUGACAGGGGUAGAAUAUUGUUUACUAGGUCUGUUCGACCUUUAAAUUUUUACA
This 445-nucleotide ribosomal RNA is filed under the name Fangumellus flavobadius. Its description in RNAcentral is "partial large subunit ribosomal RNA". The stretch from base 319 to 445 matches the Rfam family "Bacterial large subunit ribosomal RNA", at positions 2473 to 2600 of the family's 2925-position model. Lineage: Eukaryota; Metazoa; Arthropoda; Insecta; Hemiptera; Miridae. The record is from RNAcentral.